CAAGGCAAAAUAUCAUGAGUGCA
RNAcentral lists this non-coding RNA (23 nucleotides) under Rattus norvegicus (Norway rat). The record is from RNAcentral. Lineage: Eukaryota; Metazoa; Chordata; Mammalia; Rodentia; Muridae.